RNAcentral lists this long non-coding RNA (285 nucleotides) under Capsicum annuum. RNAcentral's name for it is "long non-coding RNA (CANN_LNC015303)". Lineage: Eukaryota; Viridiplantae; Streptophyta; Magnoliopsida; Solanales; Solanaceae. The record is from RNAcentral.
CCAUUUAUACCAUAAUAAACAUAUAUAACCCUAGGCUUACUUGGACAUUGAGCACUUUGAUCUAGGCAAAUAGCCUAAGUUAAAGGUGGCUAUCAUAGGUGUGCAUGGUGUAUGAUGAGAAGUAUGAAGAUGAACUAAAGAUGGGUUCUAAUAAUGCAAGAUAAAAAUAGAAGAGAAGAGAAGAGAAGAGAAGAGAGAGUUGUUGCAUCACCCAACUUGAAUAUGGAUAAUCAAGAGAAGAAGAAAAAUGAAAGAGGAUAAUUAGUGAGUCUAAGAAAGAAGUGU